Molecule: transfer RNA, 93 nt
Filed under: Clostridiaceae bacterium
Lineage: Bacteria; Bacillati; Bacillota; Clostridia; Eubacteriales; Clostridiaceae
Description: tRNA-Ser
Rfam family: tRNA
About the family: Transfer RNA (tRNA) molecules are approximately 80 nucleotides in length. Their secondary structure includes four short double-helical elements and three loops (D, anti-codon, and T loops). Further hydrogen bonds mediate the characteristic L-shaped molecular structure. tRNAs have two regions of fundamental functional importance: the anti-codon, which is responsible for specific mRNA codon recognition, and the 3' end, to which the tRNAs corresponding amino acid is attached (by aminoacyl-tRNA synthetases). tRNAs cope with the degeneracy of the genetic code in two manners: having more than one tRNA (with a specific anti-codon) for a particular amino acid; and 'wobble' base-pairing, i.e. permitting non-standard base-pairing at the 3rd anti-codon position.
Source: RNAcentral
GGAGAAGUCGCCUAGCUGGUCGAGGGCGCACGACUGGAAAUCGUGUAGACGGCCAAAACCGUCUCGAGGGUUCGAAUCCCUCCUUCUCCGCCA